This 3972-nucleotide long non-coding RNA is filed under the name Brassica napus (rape). Its description in RNAcentral is "long non-coding RNA (BNAP_LNC023597)". The stretch from base 2637 to 2761 matches the Rfam family "MIR9563 microRNA precursor family". Lineage: Eukaryota; Viridiplantae; Streptophyta; Magnoliopsida; Brassicales; Brassicaceae. The record is from RNAcentral.
CAGGCAAAUUUAUCUCUGUAGGAGUCUACAUGAUCGCCUUUGCUCUUCUUGUAGCCCCUCUUGCGAUGGUCGCAGCCUCUUUAUACAUUGAUGGAUGUACCACUCAAAACCCUGCCGAAAACCUCAAGUCAUGGAAGUGGCUAGACGCAGCUAAACAGGUCUUUGCUUUGCACCUGUUAGGUUUCAUCGUCACACUGCUUCCAUAUUUCAUCUGUCAAGUACCGGGAGAACAAUCUCCAACAAACCGCUCCAUCAUCUGGGCCACUACGUCAUCUUCGCUUCUCCUUAUAACCUUUGUCACAAUUCCGGGUUGCUCUCCAUUCUCCUCUCGCCUCCAUGGAACCAACUGGGCUGUCUUGAAAUCGGUGACCAUCUCAGCUGCCUUCAUCGGUCUGUGCCUCAUGUCCAUAAUCAACUUUGCCACCGCAGAGAUUGGAGCGUUGCUACUAGUGCCAAUGUGUCUAAUGGUUCGUCCAAUAAAACCCGAUCUGAGAUCCAGACGUGUUAAGAGCCUGCUGCGUGCGUUGUGCAGCAUUGUAUUGGUGACCAUUGGGUUCCCAGUCAUAUUUUUCGCAAUCUCCAAGGGAUUGAUAGGAGAAGGGCUCGUGGGGUUGAGUCUUGGAGGAGAGUUUUGGACAUGGUUAGAGUCGCUAUGGGCAUGGAAGAGUGCUACAUAUCUAUACAUAGGUAUGGUUUAUCUUCCUUGCUGGCUCCUUUGCCUCUGUAUUUUGUUUCAUCCAUCUUAAUUAUUUCCUUGCUUAGUCGAAAGCUAUACACACUUUGUUUGAAUUUGUUAUCCAACAACCUUGUGCUUGUAAUUUUUUUGGUGUCUUGAAAAUUUGAGAAACUAAAGCAGAUACUAAGCUCUGAAGUGUAAAAUGCGUAGUUGCUUACAGAGAAAAAAGGUAUCUUAACAAACACAAACAAAGAGAGCAAAACUGAGUAUAUCUACCAAGUUAAACUAGAUGGUUUUACUACAAAGAUUCUGGUUGCAACGACUCUGAAGUAGAGCGUGUUCUUUGUCCGAAUCCCAACAUCGAGUUACCCAAAUCAAAGUCCAAUACAAAGCCUUCUAACUGAAGCCCACCCAUUAUAAUCGGGCUGACCGGGUUCGACCCGCCGUCUACAAUACCCAAGCAUCGGACACCACCACCAACAUCCACCAUCAGAUUCCUCCCAUGAAUCCUCCACCUCACCAUCUCGCUCUGCAGUGACAGAUCAACCGCCGGGAAAUCUACCUCACUCGAAGACGUGAAGCAGAGACUGAACGGUGCUACGGGAGAUACCGACUUAGCGUUAGUCGCAGCUUUAGUGUAAGCUUCUGCAAACACCGCGAAGAUUGAGCUCUCCAGCAUCGUGUAAGGAACCACCGUGCUUAGUUCCACAGACAACGGACCAUCCACGGAGAGCCUUUUAUCGUUGACUCUGAUUGAUUUAACGUUAAUCACGUAACUGCCACUCGAGACGGAUGACAGAGGAGUGUAGACCAGGGAUUUAGACGCGGCAACUCCGAAAACAUCUUCAACCGAACUCGUUGAGGCGACGCCGUUCGACUGCGACAGGUAAAGCGUUAAACGACGGCGUUCGUUAGUUUGCGCGGCGAGUUGCGAGGGAAGAGAGAUCUGGGCCUUUCCUAGGCCCAUUACUCCUUGGGCUCCACUAGCAAGCCCACGUAGCAGCGACGGAGGAGCACAAGCGAAGAGGAUAUCAGCGGUUCCCGGAGAAGAAACAGAUCCAAAUGACAAGACGUCUCUUGCAAUCUCUCCUCUCGCUGCGAUACCAACGUCGCCAUUUCUCACAAGCAAAUCGCACACCGCGUUACGCGAUACUCGCUCGUCCCCAACCUUCGCCUUAAGGCAGCCGCUAGAGCUCCCGGAGACCAGACUCCGAGAAGAGGAAACAUGUCCGGAGGAACAAUCGAACCAUAGAAGCGAACCGGAGAGAUCAACGACGAGCUUGACAGGCUCCGGCGAAUCGCCCAUAAGAAUCUGUGCGAUGUAUUGACCGGUAUGUACGUCGCGAGCAACAGGGAAAACGACGCCGUUAACUGAAUCAGACAUCUGCGAAUUUGAAAUGAAUACAACGGAAAGGAAGGAGAAGAGGACGAGAUUCAGACAAGAAGCCAUUACAAGUGUGAUUGAGUGUGGGGGACGCAAUGGAUGAAGACGGUUUUAAAGGAUUAGUUAGGUUCUGGUUUGAAUCUGAGAUGCGGUGGGCCGACGCUGGUUUAUAAGAUUGGGAUAGCGAAUGUGAACCGAUAAGGAUUGGUUAGAUUUGAGGCAAGUGCUGAGUAGACUGCGUGUCGUUUUGCGGAUUUGUGGGGACCUUUUUUUUUCUUUUUUUGUCAAUGUUUAUCCAUUUAUUUAAAAAGAAAAAGGAGACGAUUAGAGGAGUUUUGGCACGUGCAAAGAUAAGGUUUCUUAAUAUUUUCGUUUUUCGGCGAAUAUUCGUAGUCGUGUAAAGGUUUAUGCCUACUUCGCCAACUCGAGUUAAAGUUGGUUUGAUAGAGUUACAAAGUCCAUGCGGCAGUUUUUGAUUGGUAUCCAGAAUAACAGAGUUGUGGGAAGUGGGAACUAUGAAGAGUGAGAUUAGGCUCAUACACAAAAUGGGUCUAAUUAACUCGGGAAAUUUUUAGCGGAAGAUAAGAAACUGUUUCUUAACUUUUAACUAAAAAGUUAAGAACCAGUUCUUAAAUAAGGACUUUAAUAACCGGUUCUUAACUUUUUUAUUUAAAAGUUAAGAAACAGUUUUUUUAACUUCCGGUAAAAACUCCACUAUAAGAACCCGGUUUAAUCAUGGUCUUAUGGCGAUAUAGCCCAAUAUUGUCCAUGCCUUCUUACAGCAAAACAAUAUGGUCUCUAGAUUUAUUUGAUAAUCCACAGAUGAAGUAAGUUGACGCUACAUUCAAUUCUCAUAAGAAACACGAUAGGGAGACCAUGGCAAUGCCUUCAAAUUGCCAUAAACAUUAAUUCAUUGCUCAUCUAGAUAACUCAUGAGACCUAACUCUUCUAGAUAAUUGGAAGUUUGGUAUCCCAGCCGCAGACUAUCUUGAAGGCAGUGCUACGCUAGCAAGUUCACUCUAUUCCCAGGUAAAGUUUAUAAUGUUAUCUGUCCUUAAGUAAAUUCCUGUGGUUGCACUCACACGAAUAGAUUGUAAUGUUUCAUUAUUUUCUUUAUUCAUUCUCAUCAGGCCCUUGGUAUCCCAACUGGUCCUCAUGGAGCUUUCCGUGAUUAUCAAGUUGAUGCAAUUACUUUGAAAGUUUCGCCUAGAUAUCCUCCUGACAAUAAGGGAAGGCAACACGAGUUCUUUCUGCGAGGUGCCCAGUAAGUUUUCGCAUUUAUGUUUGCUAUCUUUUUAUUAUGUAUACCUACCUCUGCUAGUUUAUGCGAGUCUUGUAAUGCAAAAGAACUAACUUUGUAUCAGUGUUAGAUGAUAACUCUGUGCUUGCUCUUUAAACGCAGGUUACUUGAAGGAACUAUAAGAUCAGUGAACAAUCUCCUUGAGAAGUUCCAUCAAUCGUUUUUCCUUUACCUGUUAACUUCCCCAGGCAAAUUUAUCUCUGUAGGAGUCUACAUGAUCGCCUUUGCUCUUCUUGUAGCCCCUCUUGCGAUGGUCGCAGCCUCUUUAUACAUUGAUGGAUGUACCACUCAAAACCCUGCCGAAAACCUCAAGUCAUGGAAGUGGCUAGACGCAGCUAAACAGGUCUUUGCUUUGCACCUGUUAGGUUUCAUCGUCACACUGCUUCCAUAUUUCAUCUGUCAAGUACCGGGAGAACAAUCUCCAACAAACCGCUCCAUCAUCUGGGCCACUACGUCAUCUUCGCUUCUCCUUAUAACCUUUGUCACAAUUCCGGGUUGCUCUCCAUUCUCCUCUCGCCUCCAUGGAACCAACUGGGCUGUCUUGAAAUCGGUGACCAUCUCAGCUGCCUUCAUCGGUCUGUGCCUCAUGUCCAUAAUCAACUUUGCCACCGC